This 4749-nucleotide long non-coding RNA is filed under the name Homo sapiens (human). Its description in RNAcentral is "HSALNT0068401". Lineage: Eukaryota; Metazoa; Chordata; Mammalia; Primates; Hominidae. The record is from RNAcentral.
GGAAAAAGGUUCCGGCCUCAGCCGGCGCACCUGGCGGAGGAGGAACCUCGCGACGCGCUCUCGGGCAUCGGUUUCUCCCAGCAAAGCUUGGAGGGUUUAGCUGCGCGGAGAGCUCAGCGAGCUCUUCUGUGUCUGUUUGGGGCGUGUGGGCUCCGGGAGCGUGAGGACCGGGAAGCUAGGAGGCUCCUUCCCUUCUGGCGGCUCCCUCACUGAGACCGGGCGGUUUGGUUGCGGGGGAAGUGGAGACGAGCCACCCUUGACCUUUGACUGCAAGAACUCACCUUGAGCAGGAUAGAGGCACGUGGACGGUGACCCUCGGGAUGCAAUAAAUGCUGAGACAGAUCAGCAAACAUUGAGUGGGCCAGACACUGUUCUGAAAAAUACGCAGUCGACUUUUGAACAGCACAGGCUUGAACUGCAUGCGGCCACUAAUACUCGGACUUCCUUCUGCCUCUGCCAUCCCUAAGACAGCAAGACCCACCCCUCCUGCUCCUCAGCCUACUCGAUGUGAUGAUGAUGCAGAGAUUCAGAGAGUCUAAGCAACUUUUCUAAAUCAUCUAGCUGGAAUUCAGUAACUGAGCCAGGAUCUACCCCAGGUCUGUCUGACUCCAAAGCCUGUGUCUUCCAGCACACACUGCUGCUGCCUGGGCAGGAAUGUGGAUAUGAUGUCUGGAGCUCUAGCAACCAUAUCAGACCACAAGGAUGAAUGUACACCCCAGGAAUGGAAGAGAGGAAAGCCAGAAAAAGACUCGGUCCCUGAUGGCUGAAGAGCUACCAUACCUGCCCCUAGAUCUUCUAUUUCUGAUCAUCUUCUAUGCAAGGCCUGGAAUGUAAUCAUGGAUAGCCAUGGAUGAUCAGCUUUCAUCAUGUGGGCAUGGAACAAGAUGGAAGGAAGCUGGGGCCCUGAGUGACCUGUGGAGCAGAGGCCUUUGCCCACCCUGGGCUGCCUGAUUUCCCCUGGACUAUCAUGAGACAGAAGAAAAAGCUUCUAUCUUAUUUGAACCACUGUGUUUUGGGAACCUUGGACUAGAGCAGCCUAGCCUUCAUACACUAACAAGGUGUAUGUGUCUGCUCUUUGUUGCUUUUGUAGAUGGUUGUGUUAUAAGCCUGAAUGCAGAAGUUGUUCCCCAGACUACUGGAUUUGCUGCCUUUUAAAACAGGUUUAUUGAACUAUAAUUGACAUACAAUGAACUGCAUAUAGGUAAAGUGUACAAUUUGAUAAGUACACUUUUUGAGCAAAUCCACCCUUUGUUCUGGAAGAAGACACUCUAUAGUCUCAGGCUGUUUCUUUACCAACAUCAACAAGCUAGUCUUAAACAGAGGAACCUCAGUGCCUCACUUUCAAGACAAUCAAGAUUAUUUCCCAACAUUCCACUAGUAGAGGGUCAGAAACAGAGUUAAAAGUUCUCAGACUAGAGGUAGAAUUGAAACCCCAGCUGAGAAGUAUCAAGGUGCCCUCCUUCCCCAAAGCUACAUAUUCUUGUGUCAGGAUCUUACCAGGAAAUGGAAGGCACAUUUACACAGGGCAGCCCAAGAGACUGUUUCAAAGGAAACCAGCAAGAUGUGACAAAGCACCCCAAGACUAGCGACACUGGGAGACCUUCUCACUUGACUUAAAAGGCUGGGGCAGGAGAGUUACAGGACCCAGUAUUAGCUGUAGCCAAAGCCUGGGCAGGGCCACCUAACAUGAGCUGCACCCUUCUGUAGAGCAGCACAGACCUUGUGCAUCUGAGGCCCAGCAGGAUGGGGCCUUGCUCAUCCUUCCCUUGCAGUUCUUGCUAAUGCUUCCUGUUGCCUGAACCCAGCUGGAAGCCAGAGGGCAAGGGAAAUCAAUUGAGACAGAUAAUGGAGGUAAUCCCCUGGGCACAGGGCAGCAUGGCAGAGGUAAGGAGUCUGUCUAGAGCCACAAAGGAAGAGGACUGAGUCCAGAGGUGAAAGCAGUCACGUAUCCCCAAAGACACCUGCUACACAUUUGGGCUUUGAUUUAUCAAUGAGAAGGCUUGAGGGACAGUGGGAAAAAUGAUGAGGAGUCAUUAGGUCCUUGUGGAAAUGGUGCCCUUGAAGGAUGAGCCUGUAAUCACUAGGUACACGUGGGUGGAUGAAUGCUGGUGAAACAGGUGGAGGGAAUGAAAGGACAGAGGCAGCACGAGAACACUGUAAGCAGAGCAGAAGUCCAUGCAAAAGCCAGAGAUGUGAGACAGCACGGGUACAUAUAGGGACCCGCAGGUGGUCUGGAGUGGCUUUGCUGUGGGUUGUGAUGAGAUAUCCACUGUGUUGGAGCUCUGGAACAAAAAGGAGGUCAUCUAAGCUGGUUGCUUCUGUUUUUUUCUUUUCUUUUUUUUCCGGAUGCAUUUCAAUUAGGUGAGGGGUACCAGGCAGAAACCCCUCCUGAAUAUAAACCCUCUGUCUUAUUGUACCAGUUAAAGAUGAACGAUGGCUCACUUCCUAUUGGGUACUAAGUUCAUUAUUUGGGUGACAGGAUCAAUAGAAGCCCAAACCUCAGCAUCAUGCAAUAUACCCAUGUGACAAACCUGUAUCCCCUAAAUCUAAAAUAAUAAUAAAAAAAGAUGUACCAUAGCUCUUAAUUGCUCUUCAAAUCACCCACACCAUUAGAGAAAGCUAUUUCCACCCCAAUCUGAAUUAAAGAAUUCUACAAUCUCCUACAGUCCGAAAGAGAGACUUCAGCUAAAGAGAAAGCUGGUGCUCCUCUUGCUAGCUGAGUGAAUUCUGAUCCUCUUUUUCAUUUUUAUUUUCUUGCUUGAACUCUGCUUUGUUAAAUCAAACACCAGCCCAAAACUGAGCCCAUGGAUCACCAUAUUGGCAGCCUUAUCCUAGAAUCUCAGGGCUGGAAAGAACUCCGAGUACAGCAUUCUCCAGUGUUGGGUGUCAACAGGAGCAGAGUUGGUCUCUUUCGAGAGCUUCCUGGAGAGUCUAUAAAAGCCUGGCUUUUGAACUCUUAUAUUUGGAGGCUGAGAUUCAGAAGGCCUGGGGUGGGGCUUGAGAAUAUAAAUUCUUUAAAAAAAUUUUUUUCUUUUCCUUAGAUAAAUCUUAGAAACCAAAGGGAAUUGAAUUCUUAAGAGGACUUGAAAAUGAUUCUAAUAUAGUCGGGUUAGGGGAAAUCUGGUCUUGAGCUUUUUCUUGGGAGAUGUGGUGAGUCCAAGGCAAGCCAGGCUUCAAUUCUGAAUCUACACUCUUCCCACACAUCUAUGUGGCCUCUGUGCCGAGUCUGAGUUUUAUGUUUUACAAAGAAAACUAGGAGAAAAACUGUUAUUCUUCUGAUUAACAGAAAAGUUGUCCAACUGGCUACACUUGAAUUAUAUCCCCUGAUUAUUAAACUCAGGCUUCUUUAGUUUUCAUUUAUUUUAUUUCAUUGCAUGGAGAUGUUUUAAAAGAGGAAGGCAAGGGGUGUGGGGGAAGGAUUCUGGGAUAGCGACCAUUCUCACCACAUGCAGAAGGCCAAUACUGCUUCCAGAAGGAGACACAAGGAAUCCUUCACUGAGUGAAAGUUUUUUUUCUUCCAGAGAAUAUCAGUAUUCCUACUUUAUAACAAGCCAGGAGCUUUUUCUGCUUCCUGAUUUAAAAAUUGAUUCCUGACUGCAUAGUUCUCACACAAUAGCUUCCUUCUUGCAGGGGCAGUGUGAUUGCCUGGAAUAUAAAUUCUUAGUGGGUUGACCAGGGAUCACGAGCAGUUAUUAUGUUCUCUGCUGCUCUUAACAUGUUGUGAUUCUCAAUAAAUAAUCCAGAGCCAAAGCAUGGUGUUUUGUUUUGCUUUGUCUCAGUGAGUUUUCCAAACUGUAUUUACUAUCUCAAAGUGAGAGCAUCGCAGUUUUCUGAGCCAACUGCAGCAAUUUUCCAGAUCUGGAGAGUAUUUUUGAAGAUUAUUUCUUUGGAGAUUUUCUCUCUUAUUUGGUUUGUUUCCUCUUUGAUAAUUUUUAUUAUUCAUAUGUUGAAUUUUUUGAGCAGAGCUUUAAUUUUCUUAUCUUUUCUCCUCCUUUUUUCCAUUUUUUUCUUUGCCACUUUUCUCCCCCUUCUGGGAUAUUUUCUCAAAUUUUUUCUUCUAAACUUUUAUCUUUUCUGUGAUUAUAAUUUUAAAUUCCAAAAUACCUUUUUUUGGAGAGGGGAGUGGAGGGAAGUGUUCUCUGACUGUUCCUUUUAUAUAGUAGCCUGUUCUUAUUUCAUGGAUGUAAUAUCUUUCCUCUUUCUUUUAUAGUCUGUUUUCCCCAAGUUACUUUUUUCCCUUGUUUGUUUAUUUGUGUCUCUGUAUUUCAUCUCGGAGCAUUCCUUAGGUGUUUGGUGAUUUCCUCCUUCUCCCUCUCUCUGCUCCCUGCAUUGUUAUAAUUAUCUCUGAGCUGACCUCCCAACUUAGGUCUUUCUCAUUUUCUAGUAAACUUGGCAUAAUCCUGUGAAACCCAUCUUUUUUAAGCCCCCAAUUCAACAUGUGAUUCUGUUGGUGAAAAGCCUUCCAUGGCUCCAUAUUUCCCACUUCAUCAGAACUUAACUUUGCCAUUUUUGACAUUUUCAGUCUCUGACCCCACUCAGGCUAGGCACCAUACCUCUUGCCUCAGAAUGUGGAUACUCUUGUGUGUUCAGAGUUGGAGAUUAGGAAAUAAUACUAUUAAAAGUAAUAGCAAUCGAUGAUAAAGCCUUCAUAUGCUUUAUUCACAGACAUUACUGACUUCUCCUGUUAGCUCUGUCGUGCUUACAUCAUGAUGCCCAUUUUUCAGGUAAAGAAAUAGUGGCUCAAACAAG